CGUUGAAGUGUAGGAUGCUUUAAUUCAAUGCUCUUAAUAUUUUUGAUUAUGGUGGUUCAUGUCGGCGGUAAUUUCUGAUAUAAGAAAGUAUUUAUAUAUUGAUUUCUAUUGUUGAGCACUGAAUAAAGCAAACGUUCACCAUAAAAUGUGAAGUGCUUCCUCGGCACAACAUUUUAAAAUGAAAUAAUAACGUCACUGUUUACGUUCGAUUGCAUUAGUGAUUAUCUACU
This 230-nucleotide long non-coding RNA is filed under the name Mytilus galloprovincialis (Mediterranean mussel). Lineage: Eukaryota; Metazoa; Mollusca; Bivalvia; Mytilida; Mytilidae. The record is from RNAcentral.